This 847-nucleotide ribosomal RNA is filed under the name uncultured Acidobacteriota bacterium. RNAcentral describes it as "bacterial SSU rRNA". It matches the Rfam family "Bacterial small subunit ribosomal RNA", at positions 71 to 896 of the family's 1533-position model. Lineage: Bacteria; Pseudomonadati; Acidobacteriota. The record is from RNAcentral.
AAAGUUCCGCAAGGAAUUAGUAGAGUGGCGAACGGGUGAGUAACACGUGGGUGACCUGCCUUCGAGUGGGGGAUAACGUCCCGAAAGGGACGCUAAUACCGCAUAAUAUCCUGCCUUUUAAGAGGUGGAAAUCAAAGCUGGGGAUCGCAAGACCUGGCGCUUGAAGAGGGGCCCGCGUCCGAUUAGCUAGUUGGUGGGGUAACGGCUCACCAAGGCGACGAUCGGUAGCCGGCCUAAGAGGGCGGACGGCCACACUGGGACUGAGACACGGCCCAGACUCCUACGGGAGGCAGCAGUGGGGAAUUGUUCGCAAUGGGCGCAAGCCUGACGACGCAACGCCGCGUGGAGGAUGAAGACCUUCGGGUCGUAAACUCCUUUCGAUCGAGACGAAUGGCCCUUGGGUUAAUAGCCUGAGGGAGUGACGGUACCGAGAGAAGAAGCCCCGGCUAACUCCGUGCCAGCAGCCGCGGUAAUACGGGGGGGGCAAGCGUUGUUCGGAAUUACUGGGCGUAAAGGGCUCGUAGGCGGCCAACUAAGUCAGACGUGAAAUCCCUCGGCUUAACCGGGGAACUGCGUCUGAUACUGGAUGGCUUGAAUCCGGGAGAGGGAUGCGGAAUUCCAGGUGUAGCGGUGAAAUGCGUAGAUAUCUGGAGGAACACCGGUGGCGAAGGCGGCAUCCUGGACCGGCAUUGACGCUGAGGAGCGAAAGCCAGGGGAGCAAACGGGAUUAGAUACCCCGGUAGUCCUGGCCCUAAACGAUGAAUGCUUGGUGUGGCGGGUAUCGAUCCCUGCCGUGCCGAAGCUAACGCAUUAAGCAUUCCGCCUGGGGAGUACGGUCGCAAGGCUG